Gossypium raimondii (Peruvian cotton) is the source of this 1024-nucleotide long non-coding RNA. RefSeq lists it as uncharacterized. The record is from RefSeq and is a predicted model, not a curated record. The transcript is spliced from 2 exons. Lineage: Eukaryota; Viridiplantae; Streptophyta; Magnoliopsida; Malvales; Malvaceae.
AUAAAAUUCGGGGGCAAAAUCUGAAAAUAAAUAAAAGAGGACUUUUUUGAAUGCGCGGAUAACAUGGAGGGGCUGGAAGGGAAUUUUCCCUUCUCCUCCAAAACGACAUCGUUCCAGCAAGGACCAAUUUGAAAAUAUAAAUAAAUGAUAGAGAAAAAUUAGAAAAAAGAAAGACUUGAUUGUAAAUAAUAAAAAAGGCGGAAGGACCAGUGUUGUAAAUAACUCAUUAAUUGAAAACACGCGGAUCCCCCAGGAGUGGGUCGGGUCACGCGCGGGUCGCGUCUAAACGACGCCGUUUAGGGUCAGGGGGCAAGCGUGCAAAACGGCAGCGUUUUGCUGAGGCUAUUUAAGUUAAAAAAAAUUUUAGAAAAAUCAUUUCAGCCCAUUUUUUAAAAAAAAAUUUCAAAAACUUCUCAAACUCUCUCCCUCUCCCCUGAAUCCGACCAUGGGCGCCGCCGUCCGUCCAUCGCACUGGCGCCAUGACCGGUAGCCGGCGACGAACCAAAUGGGUUUUUAAGCCCUGUUUUCAACGAUUUGAAGGCCAAGCCUUCUCAACCAAGAAGAAAACCGAAAGAAAAGACCCUCACCCCCCUUUUAAGGCUGAUUUCGGCAACGGAGAGAGGACCUCCGACGACGUGGCCGUGGGACAUCUCAGGUGAUUGACGGGCGCAAGUGGCAGAGGCAGUGAAGUGACCGUAGCAGUGGCGGCAGGUCAAGGGUCAGAAGACCCUAGGUGCGGUGCACCUAGGGUUAGGGUUUCCAGACCCUUUUUCUUGCUUUGGGCCAUUUGGGCAGUGGGAAAUUGGGUUGGGUUGUAUUUGGGUCCGUUUGGGUUAGGGGUAGAUUUGGGCUUAUUGGGCUGUUUUUGCUUUCUGAUUUGGGUUGUAUUGGGUUACUCGGGUUUGGGCAGGUUUUAGGCCCCGGGCAAAUUUGGGCUUGUACAUAAUGAUUUUAGGAUCUUUAGAAUAAUAUGGUUUUGUAAACAUAAAAAAUAAUUGAUGCAGAUUUGGAGUUAGUCAUUAAA